Molecule: ribosomal RNA, 253 nt
Filed under: uncultured bacterium
Lineage: Bacteria
Description: partial 16S ribosomal RNA
Rfam family: Bacterial small subunit ribosomal RNA
Source: RNAcentral
GACGAACCGUGCGAACGUUGUUCGGAAUCACUGGGCUUAAAGGGCGCGUAGGCGGCCGAUCCAGUCAGGGGUGAAAUCCCGCAGCUCAACUGCGGAAGUGCCUUUGAUACUGAUCGGCUCGAGGGAGGUAGGGGUCUGUGGAACUUCUGGUGGAGCGGUGAAAUGCGUUGAUAUCAGAAGGAACGCCGGUGGCGAAAGCGACGGACUGGACCUCUUCUGACGCUGAGGCGCGAAAGCUAGGGGAGCAAACGGG